GCAGCCGAACGCGGAUCCCUCCGCGUUGCGUCACUUCCGGGAGACUCUGGCCGCGGCGAUUCAAUAUAUCCGGAUGCAACUCUUAUGGCUGCCGUCAGUGAGGGCCCGUAAUGGAGAUCGAGUCAAGGGUUGCCCAGGGGCACUUAGAGCCUUCGGCUUCAAGGAGGCCUCUCAAAGGACAAAGGAUGAGACUUCCUGGCGGCAGAGUGCCCCCCACAAUCCUAGGAACUGUGUCGCCGCGCUUCCCGUUAACUUGCCGCUAAGUUUUUUUAGAAAAGUCGCCCUUCUUGUCAGGCUGGGACCUCACUUCUGACCCAGCCCUUCUUUGUGUACCAAGUUUUUGUUUCCGUCACUUCCCGCAGCCCGGGAGCUCGGCGGGCGAUACUGUGGUAGCUUGGGAGGAAGGGGCGGGCCGGAUGCUGGAACCGAAAGAGGUGGGGCUCGUCGAGGAGUCACGGGCGGCCGAGGCUGGAGUCUCCUAAAUGCAACCUUGAGCUGUACCACCCUUUGGUGCUUGGUCGGUUAACUCGAGGUGCUGCUCACCGUGGAGGCGUUCAGAGCUGGUCAUAAGGCUCUUUCCUGCUGACCCAACCACCCUCAACCACAGCCUGCCCUGCUCCAGAUAGACUGAUCCUAGAAAAUAUCUAGGAUGGGCGUAGUGCAGGUGUCCUAUAGACUUUGUCAUGGAGUGAAACAGAAACAAAUAAUUUAUAUCAAAUACAGAUUAAUUUGAAAAUUUGACAUUUGGAGAUAAUCUCAGUGACUAAAAAGAAGAAAACAGAAAGGCAUGGGACCCUUGAAAGGAGGAACAGAAACAAAAUUUUAAAACCCUCUCAUUACUUACCUACAGCAAAGAUGAAUUUAUAAGCAUCUCAUUUAAACUCUAGGGUUUAAAACCAUCAUAUUAUGCCUAUGCCAGGAGAUUCUAAGCUCAUGUGUUGUGAAGAAUCGAAGCCCAAAGAAGCAGGAGUGAUGGCAGAGAGGUGAACUUCCUUAGAUCUAAACCACUGUAAGUAUUGCUGCAGGUAGAAGUUGAUCCCAAACUUAAGUAAUUCAGACUUGAAUCUAGAUAGCCCUUCCUAAUUAAAAUCACAUAAAGAUCAAUUUAACAAGUUUUGCCAAUAGCAAAUACUUAAAGUUGAAAGCACUAAAGUGGUGUGUAUGACAUAGUUAUCCAGCAUAUUGCCUGAAAAAAGAAGAGGAAACCAAUGUUCCUAGUAUGAAGUGAAAUUCUUCACAAGUUGAAUGACUUAGGAAUUUAGUUGUGUCUCUGGAUGAAUCAUUACAGCUUUCAAGCACCCUGCCAUUUGUGUAGCAACAGCAAUACUGGCAGAAUACUUCAAAGGAAUACUGUAGAAAUUAAUGAAUUUAUUUAUAUUAUGCUUAAAGUUCCUUUGAAGAAAUUAAUACAUCAUAAUUCAAGGAGCAAGAAUGUUUCAUAUUAUCUCCUUGAAAUCUUCAACAUUGGGAAAAAAAUUGCAUACGACCAAUUUCACUGCUCAAAAACCAAGAUAGUGAGGUUGGCCAAUCCAUUUAAGGUCAGAUAAGUUAAAUCAAACCAAAAAUGGAAGCCAAAAGGAAAAUUUAUGUUUGAAUUCCCAAAUUUGCACUUCUAGACCACAACUGACAGAUUUCUGUAUUAUUAAGCAUCUAUGGGAUGUUUAUAUUUAUAAAAUAUUUGGCUACUACAAGUGUGAAAGACUUUGAAUAUUGAUCUUGCAAAGUUAAGAAUAAUCUGAUUCUGAAUAAAUAACCACACUUGGGGUUUUAAUUCAGGGUUCAAAUUUUUUGGAACUUUUUCAUUAUGUAUAGUAAUAAAUAUUCAGAUACAUGGAUAUUAAAAGAUUUCAAAAAGUGUGA
Molecule: long non-coding RNA, 1860 nt
Organism: Symphalangus syndactylus (siamang)
Lineage: Eukaryota; Metazoa; Chordata; Mammalia; Primates; Hylobatidae
Source: RefSeq, a predicted model, not a curated record